GACGAACGCUGGCGGCGUGCUUAACACAUGCAAGUCGAACGGAAAGGCCCUGCUUUUGUUGGGUGCUCGAGUGGCGAACGGGUGAGUAACACGUGAGUAACCUGCCCUUGACUUUGGGAUAACUUUAGGAAACUGGGGCUCAUACCGGAUAGGAGCUCCUCCUGCAUGGUGUGGGUUGGAAAGUUUCGGCGGUUGGUGUUGGUCUCGCGGCUUAUCAGCUUGUUGGUGGGGUUGUGGCUUACCACGGCUUUGACGGGUAGCCGGCCUGAGAGGGUGACCGGCCACAUUGGGACAGAGAUACGGCCCAGAGUCGUACGGGAGGCAGCAGUGGGGAAUAUUGCACGAUGGGCGGAAGCCUGAUGCAGCAACGCCGCGUGCGGGAUGACGGCCUUCGGGUUGUAAACCGCUUUCGCCUGUGACGAAGCGAGAGUGACGGUAAUGGGUAAAGAAGCACCGGCUAACUACGUA
This 468-nucleotide ribosomal RNA is filed under the name uncultured bacterium. RNAcentral's name for it is "partial 16S ribosomal RNA". It matches the Rfam family "Bacterial small subunit ribosomal RNA", at positions 28 to 507 of the family's 1533-position model. The record is from RNAcentral.